This 459-nucleotide long non-coding RNA is filed under the name Homo sapiens (human). Its description in RNAcentral is "HSALNT0289562". The record is from RNAcentral. Lineage: Eukaryota; Metazoa; Chordata; Mammalia; Primates; Hominidae.
GCUGAAGCGAUCCUCCCACCUCAACCUCCCACGUGGCUGAGACUACAGGUGCUUGCCACUAUGCCCAACUAAUAUUUGGAAUUUUCGUAUACGUGGAUUCCAGAGGGGUGACAGCAAAACGUGGGAACAUCCAGUUGCAGGAAAACAAGCUUAACACGCCCACUGAUUCUACAUUAUGCUCCUACCUCCCGGCAGCCUCUCCAGGCCGAGAACUUUCUCCAGUCAGCCUCUACAGACCAAGCUCAUGACUCACAAUGGCCUAUUUAGGCCCAUACCCUACGUCACGGCAGCCUCCGCAGAUGAGCCUACUGCCUCACAACAGCCUCCACAGGCACAGCUCCAUCGUUACAAUGGCCUCUUUAGACCCAGCUCCUGCCUCCCAGCCUUCUCUCCAGGCUCUGAACUUUCUCAGGUCUCCCUCUGUUGUCCAAGGCUGGAGUGUAGUAGUGCUAUCGCAGC